GGUUGUAAACUUCUUUUAUACUGGAAGAAACCUCUCUACGUGUAGAGGGUUGACGGUACCGUACGAAUAAGCAUCGGCUAACUCCGUGCCAGCAGCCGCGGUAAUACGGAGGAUGCAAGCGUUAUCCGGAUUCAUUGGGUUUAAAGGGUGCGCAGGCGGAGAAUUAAGUCAGUGGUGAAAUCCUGCAGCUUAACUGUAGAAUUGUCAUUGAUACUGGUUUUCUUGAAUGCAGUUGAGGUAGGCGGAAUGUGUAAUGUAGCGGUGAAAUGCUUAGAUAUUACCCAGAACACCGAUUGCGAAGGCAGCUUACUAAACUGUGAUUGACGCUGAGGCACGAAAGCGUGGGGAGCGAACAGGAUUAGAUACCCUGGUAGUCCACGCUGUAAACUAUGAUCACUCGUUGUUGGCAAUACAUCGUCAGCGACUGAGCGAAAGCAUUAAGUGAUCCACCUGGGGAGUACGAUCGCAAGAUUGAAACUCAAAGGAAUUGACGGGGGCCCGCACAAGCGGAGGAACAUGUGGUUUAAUUCGAUGAUACGCGAGGAACCUUACCUGGGCUUAAAUGCAUAACGACGGACCGGGAAACUGGUCUUUCUUCGGACGGCAUGCAAGGUGCUGCAUGGCUGUCGUCAGCUCGUGCCGUGAGGUGUCGGGUUAAGUCCCAUAACGAGCGCAACCCUUAUCAUUAGUUGCCAGCGGGUAAUGCCGGGGACUCUAAUGAAACUGCCGGUGUAAACCGAGAGGAAGGUGGGGAUGACGUCAAGUCAGCACGGCCCUUAUGUCCAGGGCUACACACGUGUUACAAUGGUCAGUACAGAGGGAAGCUACCAGGCGACUGGAUGCUAAUCUCAAAAACUGGUCUCAGUUCGGAUCGGAGUCUGCAACUCGACUUCGUGAAGUUGGAUUCGCUAGUAAUCGCGCAUCAGCCAUGGCGCGGUGAAUACGUUCCCGGGCCUUGUACACACCGCCCGUCAAGCCAUGGAAGCCGGGGGUACCUGAAGUUCGUAACCGC
This 1012-nucleotide ribosomal RNA is filed under the name uncultured organism. RNAcentral's name for it is "bacterial SSU rRNA". It matches the Rfam family "Bacterial small subunit ribosomal RNA", at positions 421 to 1437 of the family's 1533-position model. The record is from RNAcentral.